AGCAGACUUCCCUCGCUUGAGUUUCUGAAGAAUGUUCCAUAUCGCGCUAAGCUCAUCACUGCUGAUUAUGACAGGCGUGCAGCGGCACACAUUGACAUAGACCACUGUUGCAAUCAACGACACAGUCGCUAUCCAAGUAGCAUUAUAGAGCUGUCAUGCAACGCAACAACUGUGCUAUCUGCCAUCGCACAUCAACGAAGAAGUGCAGCCGCCCACAUUCCACCUCACGUCUGUCCAACCAGCUGCAAUCCUCGAGGACGCCCCACUGUACCACGAUUUCACUACGAUGUUUGACAAGAAGGAGCAGUGCGCGAGAUAGGCUAAUGAGCAGACUUCCCUCGCUUGAGUUUCGGAAGAAUGUUCCAUAUCGCGCUAAGCUGACCACUGCUGACCAUGACAGGCGUGCAUUGGGCUGGUACAGGUUGGAACUGAACAUUGAAUAUGCUGGUGGUGACGCUUUCUGAUGAGAAGUUGGUCGUGACUGAUGCAGUAUCCUUGGACUUGUCCACAGCAUCGUUCAAUCAUUGCUCUCUGAGCUGCCUUGAUUCUGUACCCAAAUACUAAGACCAAAUGCCUGUUGACUGUGCUUUAAGAGAGACUGGCGCCAUGCCUAGAGAUAUGACUGACCCCUAUUGGCAAAUUUGUAUGACUUUAUCUCGCCUACCUAGCUGCUGCCUAUAGUCUCCCUUUAACUGCGGAACACUUCAAAGUCGAUAAAA
Molecule: long non-coding RNA, 719 nt
Organism: Lineus longissimus
Lineage: Eukaryota; Metazoa; Nemertea; Pilidiophora; Heteronemertea; Lineidae
Exons: 3
Source: RefSeq, a predicted model, not a curated record